GUACUCUGGUUUCUCUUCAGAUCGUAUAAAUCUUUCGCCUUUUACUAAAGAUUUCCAUGGAGAGGAACACUAAAGCGCCUGCCCCACUUAGGAGACCUAAAGAGCAACCUCUGGU
Molecule: small nuclear RNA, 115 nt
Organism: Amblyraja radiata (thorny skate)
Lineage: Eukaryota; Metazoa; Chordata; Chondrichthyes; Rajiformes; Rajidae
Product: U5 spliceosomal RNA
Exons: 1
Source: RefSeq, a predicted model, not a curated record